UUUUGUUUUUUUUUUCCCUGAAGUUUCUCCAGGUACAUAAAGCAAAGCAGUCCAUGUAUUCUCUCAUAGCCUGUGCCCAUAGGGAGGGAGAUUCUGCUUGCUGGAUCUCCCUCACAGUGGCUGCUUCCAGAAUGUAUAUGACAUCAGAUACCAAAAAGAAACGUCUUGAAAAGGACAUUUGCAUUGCCCUUUUAUGUCAGAAUGCACCUGAGCUAGAAAUAGGAUAAUAUAAAAUGCAAGUACUGAGACAUGAUUAUGAUGAGGUCUCUGAACUCCUGGCUGGUUGCUCUGAGCACUGGACUUACACAGAGAGUUUUUCUCUUCAGUUCCCUCUUCAGUGCACUGUGGAUCAUUUCCAGUACAACACUCAUGAAGGUCUACCCCACAAAAAUCUGGGAGUGAUGGGAAGAUUACAUUCCCAUCAUCCCUAGGCAGAAAAGGAAAUCAGUUUACUGCCUUCAUCUGUCCUGAAAUUCUGUUCGGGUCUCUAGGAUACUGUAUAAAAUCCUGCUGCCACCACUAACAUUGCCAUUGUCAUUGUCAAAGAAGAUGCCCAAAUUUCAAUUUGAGAGUGGUUGCCUUGUGCUUUUUUCCAAAGGGCUCUGCAGUGUGGCAGGAGGCAGUGCCUGUGGCCAAAGGCAAGGUGCCCAAGGGCUAGAGGAGAAGGGAUGGGAAGAGGGAACAGCAGACUUGCAUAAUCAUGGCAAAUCCACAGUGGUGGAAGAGACCUCUGGAGAUCCUGUAAUCUGCCCAUUUGCUCAAGACACAUGCAACUACAGCAGGUCCCUCAGGCCUGAAUCCAGUCCUGUUUUUCAUAACACCAAUUAUGGAGAUUGAGGAUUUUUUAAUGCAGCCUUUCACCACUUACGUGGUGAAGGCUUUUUGUAUUUGAGUUUUGCUGAGGACCCCUUGAUCAUCCAUGACACCUCUGCUUGGCUUCUUGCACACAGGAAUGGACCAUUCUCUGUUUUCCAAUCCAAUAAGCAGAGACUGCCUGUCCCUCCUUCAGCUGGAGGGUCAGGCUCCUCUUGUAUCCAGAGCAUCCAGUCAGCCUCCUUUUCAUCAUCUGUGUAGCUCCAAAGCAUGCUGACCUCCUGCUGCAGCUCCUUCCCUUGGUCACAGAGGUGCUUCAUCAGCACAGACCUGCAGAAAAGGAGCCCCAGGAACACCCUGCAGCCUGAGAUUGCACAGCUGGGUCCUCCCUGUAGCAAGGGCCCCAACCCUCCAGUUGGUCUCUCACUCCUACUGAGCAAGAGAAGAGUCUCAUGGGUUGAGAUUAAGACAGGGACAUCAGUGACCCAUGACUCACAGGCAAACUAGACACAUAAUGGUGAAAAUUACACAUAUUGUCAAUUAAAAUAGGUUUGAAUGGUGAGAAAGAAAGAAACAAAACAAACCUUUCCUCCCUUUUCUCCAUGACACAAAGGUGUGUAGGGGUGGAGAUGGGCUGUGGUGAGUCCCUCCCGGCCCUUCCUGGCCACUCCACCCUCCUUCCCCUUCUCCCUGUCCUGGCACAGGCCCUUCCCUGGGCUACUGGAGUGUCUCUGCUCCAGCUGAGGUGCUGCCUGAGGGGGACCUCUGCCCUCCUCAUCCUCCAGACCUCCUCUUUGGGGUCCCUCUGCAGCUGCUCCCU
This is a long non-coding RNA of Taeniopygia guttata (zebra finch), 1633 nucleotides long. Lineage: Eukaryota; Metazoa; Chordata; Aves; Passeriformes; Estrildidae. The record is from Ensembl.